UGCACUAGCGUGGGAACGAGAAGACACUC
RNAcentral lists this non-coding RNA (29 nucleotides) under Homo sapiens (human). Lineage: Eukaryota; Metazoa; Chordata; Mammalia; Primates; Hominidae. The record is from RNAcentral.